Ornithodoros turicata is the source of this 1208-nucleotide long non-coding RNA. RefSeq lists it as uncharacterized. The record is from RefSeq and is a predicted model, not a curated record. The transcript has 2 exons. NCBI's taxonomy places the organism in Eukaryota, Metazoa, Arthropoda, Arachnida, Ixodida, Argasidae.
UAUGUAGAUUAGAAGUUUGAAAUCGAGUGGCGCCGCUAAACUAGACAUGGACCAAAGUGUGACCCUACAACAGCACAAACGAACACAUACGGGCGAGAAGCCACACAAGUGCGAUGUCUGCUCUGCAGAGUUCGGCCGUAGCGAUAGACUACUGGAUCACAAUCGGACACACAUGGCCGAUAAGCCAUACGAGUGCCUGCCGUGCUAAGCUCAGCCUGAGCAGGAACCUACAGCAGCACAAGCGGGCACACACGGGCGAGAAGCCAUAAAAGUCCAAUGUCUGUCCUGCGGAGUUCAGCCAGAGCAGACAGAGUCACAAGACAGACACACUCGAAGCCAUACAGGAGCAUUCCCUGUUCUGCAAACUUGAGAGAUCAGUCACGGGGAACCAACAGGCGCCAGCCGGAGACCCAAAUAGCUGCUGGCUGAGCACGAGCUAGUUCAGCCAGAGCAGGAACACGUCGCCACGAGACACUUGAAAUUGAAACCGUGCAAGUACAGAUGCCAUGUUCUCGUAUAUGUUCUUCGUGAAGAAGCACAUGAUAAUGCGCAGGGAGAAAAGGCUGUACAGAAGCUGUCUGAACCGUAUCGCAUUUUAUUUCUUUUUUUUCCUGUUGGAUGUUUCGAAACUCACACGCAUGAACAAACUGAAGUUCAAAAAGAGAUGGAUUGGAGAGCUGGAUUAGGUGGUGAUGCAUUGAAGUGUCAAGAAGCCCAGUGCUGGGGAGACAAACAAACAUGAAAGAGACGUCCUCUCACUGGCUGUCAACUGCCGAGAACGGUUCAUUUCCAUGAGCAACAUGCUCUUAUAUUGCUCCCUUCCCCCUUUUUUCUUCCUCUUGUGAUGAAUGCGUGUCUUCUUUAUCGUUGACUAUUGCUGCGCGGAAGGAACAUGGACACGAGAGGAAAGGGAAACACAAGCGCUUGUGCUUGUCUUACAUCUCUUGUCCAUGCACCUUUGGCACUUCGUUAGCCAACCAGGGAUAGUCAUCAAACUAGCCUAGCUAUCUACCAUUGUGCUUCUCUUCAGGCUUCCAUUGUUUUACGCCGUACGUCUCGUCAGUCGGUAAGGUGAACAAAGAAAUUGACGCAAAGAAAUAAAAAAAAGAUGGUUUGCAACCACUUACAUAUGCCAACUUGGUACGAAAUCCCGAGAAUUCCCUUUUGUGUCACGACCAAACUAAAUAAAUGUACACACUCAAAGUAAA